RNAcentral lists this ribosomal RNA (253 nucleotides) under uncultured bacterium. Its description in RNAcentral is "partial 16S ribosomal RNA". It matches the Rfam family "Bacterial small subunit ribosomal RNA", at positions 524 to 776 of the family's 1533-position model. The record is from RNAcentral.
GACGGAGGGUGCUAGCGUUGUUCGGAAUUACUGGGCGUAAAGGGCGCGUAGGUGGUUUGAUAAGGGUGUGGUGAAAGUCCGGGGCUCAACCCCGGAUCUGCCGUGCCGACUGUCAAACUCGAGGGCUGUAGAGGCAGACGGAAUUCCGGGUGUAGCGGUGGAAUGCGUAGAUAUCUGGAGGAACACCGGUGGCGAAGGCGGCGUUCUGGACGGCAUCUGACGCUGAGGAGCGAAAGCAUGGGGAGCGAACAGG